Long non-coding RNA from Carya illinoinensis, 451 nucleotides. RefSeq lists it as uncharacterized. The record is from RefSeq and is a predicted model, not a curated record. Lineage: Eukaryota; Viridiplantae; Streptophyta; Magnoliopsida; Fagales; Juglandaceae. The transcript is spliced from 2 exons.
UCAUCUGCAACUUAAUUGUUGCCUUGUUCAUGCCUGUCCUUGUUCUCAUCUAUAAGGCAGCAAUUGCAGUAUCUAAGAAUUUCAAUCAAUGCCAACAAAUGCCUCUCAAUAUUAUUUGUCUAUCAGCUUCAAUAUACAUUGGCAAAUCCCAACAACACGAGGCAUAGUUGCUAGAGCACAAAAAACUCAUCAACUGUAAAGGUGGCUUGCAUCCGAUGAGACUUGGUUCUGCAAGUACAAAAGCUUCAUUUUUGGAAUUUUAAAGAUUUUGUCAUAAAUCAGAAUGCAGAGAGCCGCACCUAAGCUUUGUAAACCUCCAAAUUCAUAAUUUUAGAUUGUCUGGGCAGACAUAGGCUUCGUAAAACACAGUAUUCUUUUUAGGUUCUAGCAUUUCACUCUGUUCAUUCUUCCAAAAUAUUUUAGAGGUUUUAUAAUGAUGUGAAGAAGAUCU